GUCUCAGUGGCGUAGCGGUUAGCGCACGAGCCCCGGUAAGGCGCUAGACGCGUGUUUGAAUCCCGCCUGAGCCG
Molecule: transfer RNA, 74 nt
Filed under: Nippostrongylus brasiliensis
Lineage: Eukaryota; Metazoa; Nematoda; Chromadorea; Rhabditida; Heligmosomidae
Rfam family: tRNA
About the family: Transfer RNA (tRNA) molecules are approximately 80 nucleotides in length. Their secondary structure includes four short double-helical elements and three loops (D, anti-codon, and T loops).
Source: Rfam by way of RNAcentral